GUAAUAUGAAUCUGCAAAGUAGACUAAAAGUACUUGUCCUGUACGAUGUAGUGAUCCUGAGAGGGCAGAAAAUGGAAACAGUCUAGUUAAAUUCAAAUACCUAAACUUUCUUAAAAACAGCAUUCGAGUAAAUAAACCACUUAUUAUAGCUACAUUCCAUUACAAUUAUUACAAUACUACAAACUAUAAUUUAUGGGACUCCAUCCACAUAAGUCUAACUUAGUUGUUAUUGUUUCCAGUCUUUCUAGUUCAUUACUACAAAGUAUAAAAACACAUUACUGACCUCACUUUAACCAUAGUAACUGAAUCUAAUGGCUUUACUUCUAAGAGCGUUAAACAUCUAAAAAUAUCUUCUAUAAACAAAUAUAUACUUUUACAACAAAUAUAAACUCACAUUUGUAUUCACUAC
This is a long non-coding RNA of Sphaeramia orbicularis (orbiculate cardinalfish), 409 nucleotides long. RefSeq lists it as uncharacterized. NCBI's taxonomy places the organism in Eukaryota, Metazoa, Chordata, Actinopteri, Kurtiformes, Apogonidae. The record is from RefSeq and is a predicted model, not a curated record. The transcript has 2 exons.